This 2932-nucleotide ribosomal RNA is filed under the name Salmonella enterica subsp. enterica serovar Enteritidis. RNAcentral's name for it is "23S ribosomal RNA". It matches the Rfam family "Bacterial large subunit ribosomal RNA". Lineage: Bacteria; Pseudomonadati; Pseudomonadota; Gammaproteobacteria; Enterobacterales; Enterobacteriaceae. The record is from RNAcentral.
GGGUUGUGAGGUUAAGCGACUAAGCGUACACGGUGGAUGCCCUGGCAGUCAGAGGCGAUGAAGGGCGUGCUAAUCUGCGAUAAGCGCCGGUAAGGUGAUAUGAACCGUUAUAACCGGCGAUACCCGAAUGGGGAAACCCAGUGUGAUUCGUCACACUAUCAUUAACUGAAUCCAUAGGUUAAUGAGGCGAACCGGGGGAACUGAAACAUCUAAGUACCCCGAGGAAAAGAAAUCAACCGAGAUUCCCCCAGUAGCGGCGAGCGAACGGGGAGGAGCCCAGAGCCUGAAUCAGCAUGUGUGUUAGUGGAAGCGUCUGGAAAGGCGCGCGAUACAGGGUGACAGCCCCGUACACAAAAGCGCAUGUGCUGUGAGCUCGAUGAGUAGGGCGGGACACGUGGUAUCCUGUCUGAAUAUGGGGGGACCAUCCUCCAAGGCUAAAUACUCCUGACUGACCGAUAGUGAACCAGUACCGUGAGGGAAAGGCGAAAAGAACCCCGGCGAGGGGAGUGAAAAAGAACCUGAAACCGUGUACGUACAAGCAGUGGGAGCNNNNNNNNNNNNNNNNNNNNNNNNNNNNNNNNNNNNNNNNNNNNNNNNNNNNNNNNNNNNNNNNNNNNNNNNNNNNNNNNNNNNNNNNNNNNNNNNNNNNNNNNNNNNNNNNGGGCGUUAAGUUGCAGGGUAUAGACCCGAAACCCGGUGAUCUAGCCAUGGGCAGGUUGAAGGUUGGGUAACACUAACUGGAGGACCGAACCGACUAAUGUUGAAAAAUUAGCGGAUGACCUGUGGCUGGGGGUGAAAGGCCAAUCAAACCGGGAGAUAGCUGGUUCUCCCCGAAAGCUAUUUAGGUAGCGCCUCGUGAAUUCAUCUCCGGGGGUAGAGCACUGUUUCGGCUAGGGGGCCAUCCCGGCUUACCAACCCGAUGCAAACUGCGAAUACCGGAGAAUGUUAUCACGGGAGACACACGGCGGGUGCUAACGUCCGUCGUGAAGAGGGAAACAACCCAGACCGCCAGCUAAGGUCCCAAAGUCAUGGUUAAGUGGGAAACGAUGUGGGAAGGCCCAGACAGCCAGGAUGUUGGCUUAGAAGCAGCCAUCAUUUAAAGAAAGCGUAAUAGCUCACUGGUCGAGUCGGCCUGCGCGGAAGAUGUAACGGGGCUAAACCAUGCACCGAAGCUGCGGCAGCGACACUGUGUGUUGUUGGGUAGGGGAGCGUUCUGUAAGCCUGCGAAGGUGGCCUGUGAGGGUUGCUGGAGGUAUCAGAAGUGCGAAUGCUGACAUAAGUAACGAUAAAGCGGGUGAAAAGCCCGCUCGCCGGAAGACCAAGGGUUCCUGUCCAACGUUAAUCGGGGCAGGGUGAGUCGACCCCUAAGGCGAGGCCGAAAGGCGUAGUCGAUGGGAAACGGGUUAAUAUUCCCGUACUUGGUGUUACUGCGAAGGGGGGACGGAGAAGGCUAUGUUGGCCGGGCGACGGUUGUCCCGGUUUAAGCGUGUAGGUGUGUGUUCCAGGUAAAUCCGGUUCACUUUAACACUGAGGCGUGACGACGAGGCACUACGGUGCUGAAGCAACAAAUGCCCUGCUUCCAGGAAAAGCCUCUAAGCAUCAGGUAACAUCAAAUCGUACCCCAAACCGACACAGGUGGUCAGGUAGAGAAUACCAAGGCGCUUGAGAGAACUCGGGUGAAGGAACUAGGCAAAAUGGUGCCGUAACUUCGGGAGAAGGCACGCUGACACGUAGGUGAAGUGAUUUACUCAUGGAGCUGAAGUCAGUCGAAGAUACCAGCUGGCUGCAACUGUUUAUUAAAAACACAGCACUGUGCAAACACGAAAGUGGACGUAUACGGUGUGACGCCUGCCCGGUGCCGGAAGGUUAAUUGAUGGGGUCAGCGCAAGCGAAGCUCCUGAUCGAAGCCCCGGUAAACGGCGGCCGUAACUAUAACGGUCCUAAGGUAGCGAAAUUCCUUGUCGGGUAAGUUCCGACCUGCACGAAUGGCGUAAUGAUGGCCAGGCUGUCUCCACCCGAGACUCAGUGAAAUUGAACUCGCUGUGAAGAUGCAGUGUACCCGCGGCAAGACGGAAAGACCCCGUGAACCUUUACUAUAGCUUGACACUGAACAUUGAGCCUUGAUGUGUAGGAUAGGUGGGAGGCUUUGAAGUGUGGACGCCAGUCUGCAUGGAGCCGACCUUGAAAUACCACCCUUUAAUGUUUGAUGUUCUAACGUGGACCCGUUACCCGGGUUGCGGACAGUGUCUGGUGGGUAGUUUGACUGGGGCGGUCUCCUCCUAAAGAGUAACGGAGGAGCACGAAGGUUGGCUAAUCCUGGUCGGACAUCAGGAGGUUAGUGCAAUGGCAUAAGCCAGCUUGACUGCGAGCGUGACGGCGCGAGCAGGUGCGAAAGCAGGUCAUAGUGAUCCGGUGGUUCUGAAUGGAAGGGCCAUCGCUCAACGGAUAAAAGGUACUCCGGGGAUAACAGGCUGAUACCGCCCAAGAGUUCAUAUCGACGGCGGUGUUUGGCACCUCGAUGUCGGCUCAUCACAUCCUGGGGCUGAAGUAGGUCCCAAGGGUAUGGCUGUUCGCCAUUUAAAGUGGUACGCGAGCUGGGUUUAGAACGUCGUGAGACAGUUCGGUCCCUAUCUGCCGUGGGCGCUGGAGAACUGAGGGGGGCUGCUCCUAGUACGAGAGGACCGGAGUGGACGCAUCACUGGUGUUCGGGUUGUCAUGCCAAUGGCACUGCCCGGUAGCUAAAUGCGGAAGAGAUAAGUGCUGAAAGCAUCUAAGCACGAAACUUGCCCCGAGAUGAGUUCUCCCUGAGACUUAGAGUCUCCUGAAGGAACGUUGAAGACGACGACGUUGAUAGGCCGGGUGUGUAAGCGCAGCGAUGCGUUGAGCUAACCGGUACUAAUGAACCGUGAGGCUUAACCUUACAACGCCGAAG